GAAACCGACCUGGCUUACACCGGUUUAAACUCAGAUCAUGUAAAAUUUUAAAGGUCGAACAGACCUAACUCAUCAGCUUCUUCACCAACAAUAAAUUUUAAUCCAACAUCGAGGUCGCAACCUUUUUUUUCGAUCAGAACUCUAAAAAAAAUUACGCUGUUAUCCCUAAGGUAAUUUAAUCUUAUAAUCUAAAUUUUAGGAUCAUAAAUAUACAAAUCAAUAUUAUCAUAAAAGAAAAGUUAAUUAAAUUUUCCUAUCACCCCAAUAAAAUAUAUAUAUUCUAAACCUAGUCAAACAAAACAAUAUAAACUUAAACAUAAAUAUAUGUAUAAAACUCUAUAGGGUCUUCUCGUCUUCUAUGAAAAUUUAAGCUUUUUUACUUAAAAAUAAAAUUUUAAUAAAUUUAUACAGAGACAGUCAUUUUUUCAUCAAACCUUUCAUUCAAGCUUUCAAUUAAAAAACUAAUGAUUAUGCUACCUUUGCACGGUCAAGAUACCGCGGCCAUUUAAACUCUCAGGGGGCAGGCCARACUUGAAAUUAUUAUCAACAARAC
This 553-nucleotide ribosomal RNA is filed under the name Trigonopterus fulgidus. Its description in RNAcentral is "partial 16S ribosomal RNA". Lineage: Eukaryota; Metazoa; Arthropoda; Insecta; Coleoptera; Curculionidae. The record is from RNAcentral.